CCACUUUCCCAUGGCAGGAAGGGGAUGUGAUGGCCGUGAUUGCUCUUGAUGGGUCCCACAGCUGAAACAGGUGGGAUUGGGGGGUCAGUGGCGCGAGCCGGAGUUCCGUGUCCUCGUCAGGACAAUGGAAGUGGUGCUGGGGGGGGGGGGGGGGGGGGUGGGGUCCAGGUUGUGGAAAGGUGGAUGACAUCAUCAGUCUGGACACAGCACAGGAGCACGACUGAGGGGGAGUCGUGUUGAUGGCAAACAAGCACGUCAAACGAUGACGUCUGACUUCCAUGUACGCGAUCUGUUUUGGAGCCGCAGGCGCCUUCAGCUCAUCUUUGUUUGGAUAGGUGUGGAGUACCAGCGCCCAUGGGUUAAGGACUGGAGCUCCACAUUUCACUGGAAGAAAUUGUGAACAAUAUGAUGUAACAAGAACCAAUUGCACAUUUCAAAUCGUCUAAAGUGGGAUGCCUGGCUUUAUUGAACAGUUCAGGUCAUGUUAAGAAACGCUGCUACUGAGAUUUAGUCUUGAAACCCAGAGUGAAUGUUUGAAGUGGCUGGAAAUGAUCUCUCGGAAGACCGAGAUGGGGGGAGAUCGGCCAUCCUUUCUUCCAUCUCCUAACAUUUUCAGGCCAACAGGACUUCACCUGUUGGGCCUGUGAAGCUUUUUGACUGAGAAUGAGUAAGGGCUGUACAAUAAAACUGGACUUGAAGAAGACA
Gadus morhua (Atlantic cod) is the source of this 705-nucleotide long non-coding RNA. RefSeq lists it as uncharacterized. The record is from RefSeq and is a predicted model, not a curated record. Lineage: Eukaryota; Metazoa; Chordata; Actinopteri; Gadiformes; Gadidae. The transcript has 2 exons.